Macrobrachium nipponense is the source of this 643-nucleotide long non-coding RNA. RefSeq lists it as uncharacterized. The record is from RefSeq and is a predicted model, not a curated record. NCBI's taxonomy places the organism in Eukaryota, Metazoa, Arthropoda, Malacostraca, Decapoda, Palaemonidae. The transcript is spliced from 3 exons.
CAUACAUGUUAUAAACCACUGUACGUAUGGUUACUGUAUGUAACUUACUAAACAUACAUAACAUGACUUAACUUUGAUACUUUUUUGGUACAUUCCAGAAAACCAGGACCCCCUCCAUGAUGCAGGCUAUGGGGCCACAUAAAACUUUGUCCAGGGUUACUACAUAACAUAAAGAACCCCCUGAAUGAUGUAGGCUAUGGGGCCACAUAAGACUUUGUGCAUCCAGGGUUACAUAGCACGACAACUUUAAACUAAAGAACCCCCUGAAUGAUGUAGGCUAUGGGGCCACAUAAGACUUUGUGCAUCCAGGGUUACAUAGCAUGACAACUUUAAACUAAAAGUAAGGAAUUAAUUCACAUACAUUAACUUUUUUACUCUUGAUAUAACUCAAAGUAAGGAAUUAUAAACUAAAAGUAAGGAAUUAAUUAACAUACAUUAACUCUUUUACUCUUGAUAUCUAUAAUUUACAUAUUGCAUUCAGGACUUUGUGUAGUAUUUUGUACUAAUUGUGUUAUACUUUUACCUUCCAGAGCUACCAGACUGGGAUUUUAGUGUACUCCAGGAUCUACCAAAGGAUUACUACAUACAUACUACGUAGUGUACAGUGCAUAAUAUAGUGUUUAGUGUAUAAUCUAACCUAAGG